Long non-coding RNA from Salvia splendens (bonfire salvia), 872 nucleotides. RefSeq lists it as uncharacterized. Lineage: Eukaryota; Viridiplantae; Streptophyta; Magnoliopsida; Lamiales; Lamiaceae. The record is from RefSeq and is a predicted model, not a curated record. The transcript has 5 exons.
ACCAUUGACCCUGAUAUUGCUCUCUCUUACAUUGAGGAAAAAGUCCAUAGAUUUUUGGGUCACCUCCAGAAAGAUUUCGAAGGUGGUGUUUCAGCUGAGAAUUUGGGGGCAAAAUUUGGUGGCUAUGGUUCGUUUUUACCUACCUAUCAGCGGAGUCCAUCUUGGUCGCAUACUAAAGUCCAGCCGAGGCUCAUAACUAUGACUCACCAAGAAAGACGCACACAGAGGAUCAAAGGCAGAAUUCUUUAGCUUCAUCAAGUGCUUCUCCUUCAAUAAGGCCCCAUACUGCUUCAGGAAAAUCUUUAUCAGUGGGAAGCUCCUUGAAAGGCAAUGGCUACUUAAAAUCUAAACAUGCUGAAGAAUCGAGCUUAAAAAGGGGAACAAAUAGAAAAUCUGUGAUUGAUCAGAGAACACUGAAGGUCCGAAUCAAAGUUGGCUCAGAAAAUUUGUCAGCACAGAAGAAUGCUGAAAUCUACAGUGGACUUGGUCUAGUAGUUUCGCCAUCCUCUUCGAUGGAUGACAGUCCCACAACUAGUGAAGGGCAAUGUGGUAAAACUUUUGGGUGUGCCUGAGGCAUCACCAACCAGUAUUCUUCAGAUUAUGACAUCUUAUUCUGGAGAACUGCUUCUAUCCCCUCUAUCCGAGGAUCUGAUCCAUCUUACAGAAAAAAGGAAGUCCAGGGGAAAACGUGAAAAUAAACCAGUCGACAGAACAAGCAAAAAGUCUGGAUUGUUAGGGAAUGGAUCUCUUUCUAGCAGGAGUAACCAUAAAGUUACUGAGAAGAAAAAUGUCUUGUCAUCUGAAAAGGACGAUGAUUACUUCACAGAAUUACCGUAUCAGAAUAAUAAUGCUUUUGUGGAGAAUGAUGUUUC